RNAcentral lists this ribosomal RNA (253 nucleotides) under uncultured bacterium. RNAcentral describes it as "partial 16S ribosomal RNA". It matches the Rfam family "Bacterial small subunit ribosomal RNA", at positions 524 to 776 of the family's 1533-position model. The record is from RNAcentral.
UACGGGGGGAGCAAGCGUUAUCCGGAAUGAUUGGGCGUAAAGCGUCCGCAGGUGGCUGUGUAAGUCUGCUGUUAAAUAGUGAGGCUCAACCUCAUAAAGGCAGUGGAAACUACACGGCUAGAGUGCGUUCGGGGCAGAGGGAAUUCCUGGUGUAGCGGUGAAAUGCGUAGAGAUCAGGAAGAACACCGGUGGCGAAAGCGCUCUGCUAGGCCGCAACUGACACUGAGGGACGAAAGCUAGGGGAGCGAAUGGG